RNAcentral lists this long non-coding RNA (6909 nucleotides) under Ananas comosus (pineapple). RNAcentral's name for it is "long non-coding RNA (ACOM_LNC016020)". The record is from RNAcentral. Lineage: Eukaryota; Viridiplantae; Streptophyta; Magnoliopsida; Poales; Bromeliaceae.
UUAAGAUUAGAUGUCACCCAUUUACUUUCUAAGUUAUCAUUAAUGUAGAACGCAGCGGAAGUAUUCGUUCGUACCUUUUUCGGAAGCGAUUUGCGCAACAACGCGAUGAGCCCGGAUCGUUUAGAUUGAUUCACGUGUCCUCGGAUCGUCCUUGAAUGUCUUCUCACGCUCCACGAACUCGCGGUAGAUCGAACUACAAACGAGCGCGAUCGCAAAUCCACCGUGCAAGUCCCUCUAGAAUAAUAGGUCAAUGGAGGAUGUGGUUUCUCGCUAUUAUUUUCUUAUUCUCUCUCUGUUUCCGUUCUUUUCGUGUAUACCGUUAUGUGGGAUCGCCCGCAUAUUUAUAAGGAAUUUCAAAAUCCUAAUAGCGUUAGAGAUAAGGCCAAAUCGGUUAUUAUUUGUUAUCCUAAUAUGAUUAGAUUUAUCUCUAAUUAGCUUUCCAAUUUGAAAGCGAGAUUAAUCCUAAUCCAAUUAGAUAACAUAAUAUCCGUCGGAUCGAACCCGCUUAUGGGCGUACCCGAUUCGAUUUAACCGAAUGCCAACAUCUCCCACUCGCACAUGACGGGAUCGAUGCCAUCGUAACCACUUCCUCAACAUCACACCACUAUUAAUUCUAUUCAUACAGGAAAAUGAACAGUGCGACCGCCGAGUCAACCUGCAUUUUGGGAGCUCUAUACUAGAAACCGCAUCCGGCCAGCAUAGAGACAUCAACCCUCAAAAAAGAAAAAAUAUUAGACUCGUGAUGCCCUAGACCAUUGAAUUACAUCAGGUUCAGCAUCUCUAAUCCCUCGAAGAGCCAUGCUAACCUCUGUUGCGCACAUUAUGACACUAUACUCAUGAUUGUUUCGCUAUACUGAAGCGAUACAACCUGUCGACAAUGAGUCAAAGUGUUUUAAUGUAAUUCAACUAGUCUUCCUUGAGCCCUCAUGCCACUGAGUUGAGAACUGAUUGCUUUCCCAGCAAUGCCCCGUAAAGCCGCAUCACUCAUAGCCGUAGGAAACAUGCCAAAGUAGCAACAUCAAUUCUUUCACUUAAUGACAUAGUCAAAAGUCACUAAGGGCAUCUAACAUAUAUGGGACAUCGUCUCAAAAUAAUGUCCGUAAGAACUCACACGAUGAGGAAGCAGGGAUCCAUUCACUCAUCUUCUUUAUUUAGUCGCCCAGCACAUGUAGUAUGAAAUACAUGCUAUGACAGAGAAUCCAAUAAGCGUAUGUCUUUCUCAAUGUCAUACGGAUCUUAGCUCAGUCACUCCCAGAGUGUCUAGCCUGAGUUCUCCAUUUGCUCGCUAUCUCAAGCGUCAAACGGUGAGCUCACAUCCGGCUCUCAAUAUGCAGGCCAUACGAAUCGUGGGACUAUUCGUAUGCGGUCUCAUUAAUGACCUCAUCUUGGUGCCAACCAAGGCGGCUUCCAUUAAUGCCUCAAUUUUCGCUCGCUCUCUACAGCGCCGAAAAGAAUGAUUGCCCGUGUGAGAGGGCCAAUCAGCCUGUGACAUACUAUCAAUCAGUUUAAUAAUAAUGCACGUGUACUAAUUUUACCAAAUAUCUUUUUCAGAAUAAUAAUUUGUAAUUAAAUAACCAAGAAAUUACAAAAAAAUAAUCGACUGUCUACACAAUCAAAUCCUACGGAGUCCAAGAGCUUUAACAUGAGCCAAAAAAGAAUCUCUAACAAUAGGCUUAGUCAGAGGAUCUGCCACCAUGCGACUCGUAGAGAUGUGUUCCAGGAUUAUUUCUUUCUGCGCCACUGCUUCACGAACAAAGUGAUACUUUAAGUCGAUGUGCUUUGUCUUGCCAUGAUAUUUCGGGUCCUUCGUGUAUGCAAUCGCUGCCAUACUGUCACAAUAGAUCGUCACAGGAACGGAAGUACAAGCGACAAUCCCAAUAUCUCGAAGAAACCUCCUCAACCAGAUAGCCUCCUGGGCUGCUGCAGAACACGCCACGAACUCCGCCUCCAUGGUGGAAAGAGCUAUACAGGUCUGUUUCUUACUACUCCAAGUUAUGGCGCCAUUGCCAAGUAAGAAUGCAUAUCCUGAGGUCGACUUACGCUCAUCUAGGUCACCAGCCCAAUCCGCAUCGCUAUAACCGAUGAGACGUAAAUCCGUACCUUGAUAGCACAGCACAUAAUCUAUCGUACCUCUGAGGUAACGAAGUAUUCUUUUAACAGCCUUCCAGUGGUCCAAUCCCGGAUUGGACUGAAAACGGCUAACCAAGCCCACGGCAUAGCAUAUAUCAGGCCGAGUACACAUCAUAGCAUACAUCAGGCUCCCGACCGCAUUAGCAUAUGGAAUCCGAUUCAUCUUGUCCUUCUCUUCAGAAGUUUUAGGGCACUGUUUAAGGUUCAAACUCUCACCUUUAGCAAUAGGAGUGUCAAUGGGUUUGCAAUUUUGCAUCUGAAAUCGUUCUAAAACUUUUCUUAGGUAAGUCUCUUGAGACAGACCUAAAAGUUUCUUUGAACGAUCUCGUAGGAUCUUAACUCCGAGCACAUAAUUCGCUUCACCCAUGUCCUUCAUUUCAAAAUUAGAGGACAGCCACGUCUGAGUGGCGACAAUCAUCUCCUUAUUAUUCCCGGCCAAUAAGAUGUCAUCCACAUAUAAAGAAAGGAUAAGAAAAAAUCCUUUGGACCGUUUAACAUACACACAGUGAUCUUCUUCAAUCAUCGUAAACCCAUCUUCAGUGAUGGCUCGAUGAAAUCGAAUAUACCACUGUCUGGAGGACUGCUUCAAUCCAUAAAUGGAUCGUCGGAGCUUACAAACUUUAUGCUCCUCACCCUUUACAGAGAAGCCAGUAGGCUGAUCCAUAUAGAUCUCCUCAUCCAGUUCUCCAUUGAGAAAUGCAGUUUUAACGUCCAUUUGGUAAAGAUCCAAAUCCAAAUAUGUGACAAUGGCCAAGAUCAGACGGAUCGAAGCAAACCUUACAACAGGAGAAAAAGUUUCUUCGUAAUCAACGCCUUCUCGUUGGGUAAAACCCUUUGCUACUAGGCGAGCCUUGUACCUAUCGAUAGAACCGUCUGCCUUGCGCUUAAUCUUGAGAACCCAUUUAUUCCCAAUUGUUUUGCGCCCUUGUGGCAAGUCAACCAAGUCCCAGACAUGAUUUGACUUCAUCGAUUCUAUUUCCUCCAUCAUUGCAUCCAUCCAUUCCUUAUGAGUAGGUAAUGAGAGAGCCUCUUGGAAGGAUCUAGGCUCAUCAUCAUCAUGUGCAGCAACCAUGAAAGCUUCCCCCUCAAUCUCAAAACGACGACGGGGAAUGCCUACACGUGCGCUCCUACGAAGUUGAGGCUCCACAUCUAAAGGUAAGUCGCUCCCACUAUCCCCAGGAGGUAUCGGAGUCGCCUCCUCUGCCUCAACUGAGCGAAUAGAAGCGCCAAUGUCAGAGUCAUCCAUCUCAUGGAACUCAGUUUCAUUUCGAACCUCACUUCUAUAAGGAAAAUCCUCCUCGAGGAAUUCAACAUCUCGUGACUCAAUCUCAGUCAAACUUCCAUCAGGCUGCUUUCCGAUGAACACGUAUCCCUUAGAGUGUUCAGAGUAUCUUAUAAAGAUACACUUUCUCCCUCUAGGACCCAACUUUCCAUCCUUGUGAGAAGUAUUGUGUACAUAAGCUGCCGAACCCCAAGGACGCAGGAGCUCCAAAUUUGGUUUCCUGCCUGUCCAUAAUUCAUAAGGGGUGGAAGGUACUGUUUUGGAGGGUACACGAUUAAGAAUGUAGGCAGCAGUUAACAAUGCGUCUCCCCAAAAGGAGACAGGCAAAUUUGCUUGCGCCAUCAUUGACCUAACCAUGUCAAGCAAGGUGCGAUUUCUUCUCUCCGCUACACCAUUUUGCUGCGGAGUGCCAGGAAUUGUCAGCUGUCUGAUUAUUCCCUUUUCAUCACACAAUUCCUUAAAUUGUUCAGAUAGAUACUCGCGGCCUCGAUCAGUUCUUAAGCAUUUAAUUUUCAUAUCUAACUGAUUCUCAACCUCAUUAAUAUAACGUCUAAAACAAUCCAAUGCUUCAGACUUAUGGGAGAUCAGAUAAACAUGACCGAAGCGCGUAUGGUCAUCUAUAAAUGUGAUGAAGUAAAAAGCACCAUGUCUUGCCCUCACACUCAUUGGGCCACAAAUGUCGGAAUGGAUUAAUUGUAAAGGAAAUUCUGCCCUUGAAGCUUUAUUAAAUGGUUUUCGGGUCGCUUUUCCCGCUAAACAAUGUUCACAAGUGGGUAGGUCGACUUUAGUGAGCGAGCUCAAUAACCCGUCUCUAACUAAUCUAGUCAUUCUAUCCUGCCCAAUAUGACCAAGACGUGCAUGCCAUUUAAUUGAAACAUUGUGAUCAUUCUCAACAGAAGAUAGCAGGGAAAAAGAAUCACUAUUAUUAAUAUUAUAAUCAAUGUCCAAAACCAUAAAACCAUUCGACAUAAAACCUCUUCCAUAAUAAAUAGUUCCAAGAUGAAUCUUAACUACAUCACUCUCAAAACGAAAAGAAAAGCCUAACUGUAGCAUAGCAAGAAUAGAAAACAAGUUCCGCCGAAUUCCUGGAGCAUAAAGUACAUCAUGUAGAUAUAAAGUUCGACCACCUUGCAUGAUCAACUUGUAUGUGCCAACGCCUAACACAUCGACACUUGAAUCAUUCCCCAUGUAUACUCUUCUGCUCCCAGCAGGCACGCGACGGUACUCGACGAAUCCCAUCCGAUCCCUCGCUACGUGGUCUGUUGCUCCUGAGUCUACAAUCCACACAGGGAGAGAUUCAGCAACAAACGUGUUAGAAGAAACAAAAGAGCGAGAAUCGGGAUAGUGUUGUACCUUCUUCGGCUCAGUGCAAUCACGAGCGAAGUGUCCCAGCUGAUUACAGUUGAAACAAGUCAUCUUUGACUUGUCUUUCUUGCCACCUCGUUUGCUUCUUUUUCUUUUAGUGUUCUUCGCAUUCUUAGGCGCGGAUCCGCUACGAUUUUGAGCCCCAGUAGUCCUCUUUCGCUUGAACCCAGAUGUCCUGCGAAAGUUUGACUCAGCAGCAUUGGCAGUUGGAGUUUUAACAGCCUCAAGGCGCUCUUCCUCCAACUCCAAAUGCCGCGCAACAUCCUCAAAAGUUUUGAUAUUAUCGUUAUGGGUCAAAUUUACUCGCAUAUGUUCCCACGAGAUAAGGCAUCCAUAAAAAAUUAUGUUGUGCCAAAAGAUUUCAUCCAUGCAGCAUAAAAAGCAUUAUAAUAUUUUAAAUGCAUGCUAAUAUUUUAAAAUCAUUGCAACAUAUAUCACAAAAUGCAUAUUAAUCAUCUAAUAUGCUAUAUUAAAAAAAAACUGGUGCAAAAAAGCAAAGAAGAAAAAAAAAAAAAAUUGUGCGAGUUCGCUUGUGCCCGGCCUGCUGAGCUUGGCAGUCAGCGCGCGCGACCAGCCCGCGCGCGAGGCCCGCUCGCAGCCAGAGGCGGCCCGCAAGGCUGCGCGCGGCCUAGUUGCGCAGCCACCCUGUGUGCGCGGCCCGCGUGGUCUGAUGGGCCGCACCGCCAGCCCGCAUGCAUGGGCCGCCCGCGCGGCCUGCGCGCCCCCGGGGCCUGCGCGCGGCGCACGUGCCCCGCACGCGUCUCGCGGCCUAUGCGGCCUGCGUGGCCUGCGCGGUCCGCCGCCACCGCGCGGCCCGCGGAGCCUGCGUAAUAGGCCCGCACAGCCCGCGCGGGCUGUGCGCUGUUAGCGGCGCCCCGCGCGGCCUGCGUGCGCGAGGCCCGCGCGGCUGUAGGCCCGGGUGCGCGCGGCCGCGUGCGCACGGCCCGCGCCGUAGGCCCGCGCGGCUGCGGGCCUGUGUGCCGAAGGCCGGCGCGGCCUGCGUGAGCGAGGCCCGCGCGGUCCGCGCAGCCGGCCCGCAGCCCGUGCGGCCUGCGCGGUCUGCGCGCGGCGGGGUCACCAUGUUUUUUUUUUUUUUUUUUUUUUUUUUUUUUUUUUUUUUGUUUAAAGAUUAGGAAUCUUUAAAAAAUAUAUCUUUAUGAUUUGGAAAUCCGAACAUGCAAGAAAUAUUUCAAAAGAAACUUUGCGAGGAGCCUUCCACAUCAUGCAAGAUUCGCAUAUAAGAUAUCCAUCACACAUCAAACAAGACACCUCAAAAAAAUCGUUUAGGUUUCGUUUUUCUUAUAAAACACAAAACCGUAUAUAAAACUCAACUUGCUUGUAAAUAAAAACUACAAUUUCGGUGCUUCAAGAUGUGUAAAAACAUACAAAGAUAUCCACUUUAUGAAAAACACGGUCAUGAACAUCGCAUACAUGCAAGAAAAAAUCUAAAACAUGAUAGAAUUUAAUUUAAUUGCAUGUAAUCUCAUUAAAGGAUGUAUACAAGACACGAAAUCAACCAAAAAAGGCUCUGAUACCAAUUGAGAUCGCAGGCGAAGUAUUCGUUCGUACCUUUUUCGGAAGCGAUUUGGCUAACAAGCGGAUCAGCCCAUGUGUAUUUAGUUAUAUAUAUUUUGAUGUCUAGGGUGUCCUGGAUCGUCCUUGAUAUGUUUUAUCUCCUCUUUAUCUGUAAACUUGCGGACUAAUCGAACUACACCGUGAGCUUGGAUUCGCAAAUCCACCGUGCAAGUCCCUCUAGAAUAAUAGGUCAAUGGAGGAUGUGGUUUCUCGCUAUUAUUUUCUUAUUCUCUCUCUGUUUCCGUUCUUUUCGUGUAUACCGUUAUGUGGGAUCGCCCGCAUAUUUAUAAGGAAUUUCAAAAUCCUAAUAGCGUUAGAGAUAAGGCCAAAUCGGUUAUUAUUUGUUAUCCUAAUAUGAUUAGAUUUAUCUCUAAUUAGCUUUCUAAUUUGAAAGCGAGAUUAAUCCUAAUCCAAUUAGAUAACAUAAUAUCCGUCGGAUCGAACCCGCUUAUGGGCGUACCCGAUUCGAUUUAACCGAAUGCCAACAAUUAAUUUUGUAUUCUCUAUUAACAUUUUGCUUCUUUUUCUCAAAAACACUAACAAUUUAAACCAACAUU